GCGCAGCAGUCGCGAAUUUUUCUCAAUGGGGGCAACCCUGAAGGAGCGACGCCGCGUGGAGGAUGAAGGCUUUCGGGUUGUAAACUCCUGUCAUUUGAGAACAAGUGUGAGCACAUAACUACUGCUCAUUUGACAGUAUCAGAAGAGGAAGGGACGGCUAACUCUGUGCCAGCAGCCGCGGUAACACAGAGGUCCCAAGCGUUGUUCGGAUUCAUUGGGCGUAAAGGGUGCGUAGGUGGCGUGGUAAGUCGGGUGUGAAAUUUCGGAGCUUAACUCCGAAACUGCAUUCGAUACUGCCGUGCUUGAGGACUGGAGAGGAGACUGGAAUUUACGGUGUAGCAGUGAAAUGCGUAGAGAUCGUAAGGAAGACCAGUGGCGAAGGCGGGUCUCUGGACAGUUCCUGACACUGAGGCACGAAGGCUAGGGGAGCAAACGGGAUUAGAUACCCCCGUAGU
This 455-nucleotide ribosomal RNA is filed under the name uncultured organism. Its description in RNAcentral is "bacterial SSU rRNA". It matches the Rfam family "Bacterial small subunit ribosomal RNA", at positions 346 to 794 of the family's 1533-position model. The record is from RNAcentral.